UACAGGGGGGGCAAGCGUUGUUCGGAAUUACUGGGCGUAAAGGGCCAGUAGGCGGCCAACUAAGUCACACGUGAAAUCCCCAGGCUUAACCUGGGAACUGCGUGUGAUACUGGAUGGCUUGAAUUCGGGAGAGGGAUGCAGAAUUCCAGGUGUAGCGGUGAAAUGCGUAGAUAUCUGGAGGAACACCGGUGGCGAAGGCGGCAUUCUGGACCGAUAUUGACGCUGAGGAGCGAAAGCCAGGGGAGCAAACGGG
RNAcentral lists this ribosomal RNA (253 nucleotides) under uncultured bacterium. RNAcentral's name for it is "partial 16S ribosomal RNA". It matches the Rfam family "Bacterial small subunit ribosomal RNA", at positions 524 to 776 of the family's 1533-position model. The record is from RNAcentral.